UAUGGUCAAGUGAAGAAGCGCAUACGGUGGAUGCCUUGGCAGUCAGAGGCGAUGAAAGACGUGGUAGCCUGCGAAAAGCUUCGGGGAGUCGGCAAACAGACUUUGAUCCGGAGAUGUCUGAAUGGGGGAACCCAGCCAUCAUAAGAUGGUUAUCUUGUACUGAAUACAUAGGUGCAAGAGGCGAACCAGGGGAACUGAAACAUCUAAGUACCCUGAGGAAAAGAAAUCAACCGAGAUUCCCUUAGUAGUGGCGAGCGAACGGGGACUAGCCCUUAAGUGGCUUUGAGAUUAGCGGAACGCUCUGGAAAGUGCGGCCAUAGUGGGUGAUAGCCCUGUACGCGAAAAUCUCUUAGUCAUGAAAUCGAGUAGGACGGAGCACGAGAAACUUUGUCUGAAUAUGGGGGGACCAUCCUCCAAGGCUAAAUACUACUGACUGACCGAUAGUGAACUAGUACCGUGAGGGAAAGGCGAAAAGAACCCCGGAGAGGGGAGUGAAAUAGAUCCUGAAACCGUAUGCGUACAAGCAGUGGGAGCAGACUUUGUUCUGUGACUGCGUACCUUUUGUAUAAUGGGUCAGCGACUUAUUUUCAGUGGCGAGCUUAACCGAAUAGGGGAGGCGUAGCGAAAGCGAGUCUUAAUAGGGCGUCUAGUCGCUGGGAAUAGACCCGAAACCGGGCGAUCUAUCCAUGGGCAGGUUGAAGGUUAGGUAACACUGACUGGAGGACCGAACCGACUACCGUUGAAAAGUUAGCGGAUGACCUGUGGAUCGGAGUGAAAGGCUAAUCAAGCUCGGAGAUAGCUGGUUCUCCUCGAAAGCUAUUUAGGUAGCGCCUCAUGUAUCACUGUAGGGGGUAGAGCACUGUUUCGGCUAGGGGGUCAUCCCGACUUACCAAACCGAUGCAAACUCCGAAUACCUACAAGUGCCGAGCAUGGGAGACACACGGCGGGUGCUAACGUCCGUCGUGAAAAGGGAAACAACCCAGACCGUCAGCUAAGGUCCCAAAGUUAUGGUUAAGUGGGAAACGAUGUGGGAAGGCUUAGACAGCUAGGAGGUUGGCUUAGAAGCAGCCACCCUUUAAAGAAAGCGUAAUAGCUCACUAGUCGAGUCGGCCUGCGCGGAAGAUGUAACGGGGCUCAAAUCAUACACCGAAGCUACGGGUAUCACGUAAGUGAUGCGGUAGAGGAGCGUUCUGUAAGCCUGUGAAGGUGAGUUGAGAAGCUUGCUGGAGGUAUCAGAAGUGCGAAUGCUGACAUGAGUAACGACAAUGGGUGUGAAAAACACCCACGCCGAAAGACCAAGGUUUCCUGCGCAACGUUAAUCGACGCAGGGUUAGUCGGUCCCUAAGGCGAGGCUGAAAAGCGUAGUCGAUGGAAAACAGGUUAAUAUUCCUGUACUUCUGGUUAUUGCGAUGGAGGGACGGAGAAGGCUAGGCCAGCUUGGCGUUGGUUGUCCAAGUUUAAGGUGGUAGGCUGGAAUCUUAGGUAAAUCCGGGAUUCUAAGGCCGAGAGCUGAUGACGAGUUACCCUUUGGGUGACGAAGUGGUUGAUGCCAUGCUUCCAAGAAAAGCUUCUAAGCUUCAGAUAACCAGGAACCGUACCCCAAACCGACACAGGUGGUUGGGUAGAGAAUACCAAGGCGCUUGAGAGAACUCGGGUGAAGGAACUAGGCAAAAUGGCACCGUAACUUCGGGAGAAGGUGCGCCGGUGAGGGUGAAGCACUUGCUGCGUAAGCCCACGCCGGUCGAAGAUACCAGGCCGCUGCGACUGUUUAUUAAAAACACAGCACUCUGCAAACACGAAAGUGGACGUAUAGGGUGUGACGCCUGCCCGGUGCCGGAAGGUUAAUUGAUGGGGUUAGCUAACGCGAAGCUCUUGAUCGAAGCCCCGGUAAACGGCGGCCGUAACUAUAACGGUCCUAAGGUAGCGAAAUUCCUUGUCGGGUAAGUUCCGACCUGCACGAAUGGCGUAACGAUGGCGGCGCUGUCUCCACCCGAGACUCAGUGAAAUUGAAAUCGCUGUGAAGAUGCAGUGUAUCCGCGGCUAGACGGAAAGACCCCGUGAACCUUUACUAUAGCUUUGCACUGGACUUUGAAUUUGCUUGUGUAGGAUAGGUGGGAGGCUUUGAAGCGUGGACGCCAGUUCGCGUGGAGCCAUCCUUGAAAUACCACCCUGGCAACUUUGAGGUUCUAACUCAGGUCCGUUAUCCGGAUCGAGGACAGUGUAUGGUGGGUAGUUUGACUGGGGCGGUCUCCUCCUAAAGAGUAACGGAGGAGUACGAAGGUGCGCUCAGACCGGUCGGAAAUCGGUCGUAGAGUAUAAAGGCAAAAGCGCGCUUGACUGCGAGACAGACACGUCGAGCAGGUACGAAAGUAGGUCUUAGUGAUCCGGUGGUUCUGUAUGGAAGGGCCAUCGCUCAACGGAUAAAAGGUACUCCGGGGAUAACAGGCUGAUACCGCCCAAGAGUUCAUAUCGACGGCGGUGUUUGGCACCUCGAUGUCGGCUCAUCACAUCCUGGGGCUGAAGCCGGUCCCAAGGGUAUGGCUGUUCGCCAUUUAAAGUGGUACGCGAGCUGGGUUUAGAACGUCGUGAGACAGUUCGGUCCCUAUCUGCCGUGGACGUUUGAGAUUUGAGAGGGGCUGCUCCUAGUACGAGAGGACCGGAGUGGACGAACCUCUGGUGUUCCGGUUGUCACGCCAGUGGCAUUGCCGGGUAGCUAUGUUCGGAAUAGAUAACCGCUGAAAGCAUCUAAGCGGGAAACUAGCCUCAAGAUGAGAUCUCACUGGAACCUUGAGUUCCCUGAAGGGCCGUCGAAGACUACGACGUUGAUAGGUUGGGUGUGUAAGCGCUGUGAGGCGUUGAGCUAACCAAUACUAAUUGCCCGUGAGGCUUGACCAUA
RNAcentral lists this ribosomal RNA (2896 nucleotides) under Pseudomonas vancouverensis. RNAcentral's name for it is "bacterial LSU rRNA". It matches the Rfam family "Bacterial large subunit ribosomal RNA". The record is from RNAcentral. Lineage: Bacteria; Pseudomonadati; Pseudomonadota; Gammaproteobacteria; Pseudomonadales; Pseudomonadaceae.